AUUGAACGCUGGCGGCAGGCCUAACACAUGCAAGUCGAGCGGUAGAGAGAAGCUUGCUUCUCUUGAGAGCGGCGGACGGGUGAGUAAUGCCUAGGAAUCUGCCUGGUAGUGGGGGAUAACGUUCGGAAACGGACGCUAAUACCGCAUACGUCCUACGGGUGAAAGCAGGGGACCUUCGGGCCUUGCGCUAUCAGAUGAGCCUAGGUCGGAUUAGCUAGUUGGUGGGGUAAUGGCUCACCAAGGCGACGAUCCGUAACUGGUCUGAGAGGAUGAUCAGUCACACUGGAACUGAGACACGGUCCAGACUCCUACGGGAGGCAGCAGUGGGGAAUAUUGGACAAAGGGCGAAAGCCUGAUCCAGCCAUGCCGCGUGUGUGAAGAAGGUCUUCGGAUUGUAAAGCACUUUAAGUUGGGAGGAAGGGUUGUAGAUUAAUACUCUGCAAUUUUGACGUUACCGACAGAAUAAGCACCGGCUAACUCUGUG
Molecule: ribosomal RNA, 484 nt
Filed under: uncultured bacterium
Lineage: Bacteria
Description: partial 16S ribosomal RNA
Rfam family: Bacterial small subunit ribosomal RNA
Source: RNAcentral